CACUAAGUGAUAACUUUCAAAUUCAGAGAAACCCUGGAAUUAAUAAAAAGGGGCAAUCCUGAGCCAAAUCCCGUUUUCCGAAACCAAAGGUUCAGAAAGUGAAAAAAGGAUAGGUGCAGAGACUCAACGGAAGCUGUUCUAACAAAUGGAGUUGGCUGCGUUAGUAGAGAAAUCUUUCCAUCUAAAAUUCCGAAAGGAUAAAGUGAAGGAUAAACGUAUAUACGUACUGAAUACUAUAUCAAAUGAUUAAUGACGACUCGACUGAAUCUGUAUUUUUUAUAUAAAAACGGAAGAAUUGGUGUGAAUAGAUUCCACAUUGAAGAAAGAAUCGAAUAUUCAUUGAUCAAAUGAUUCACUCCAUAGUCUGAUAGAUCUUUUCAAGAAUUGAUUAAUCGGACGAGAAUAAAGAUAGAGUCCCGUUCUACAUGUCAAUGUCGGCAACAAUGAAAUUUAUAGUNNNNNNNNNNNNNNNNNNNNNNNNNNNNNNNNNNNNNNNNNNNUCCCUCUAUCCCCAAAAAACAUAUUUGAUCCCCCAACUAUUUAUCCUAUCCCCCUUUCGUUAGCGGUUCAAAAAACCUUAUUCAUUUACUCUAUUCUCUUAGAAAUCGAUCCGGACGGAAAAGCCCUUUUCUUAUCACAAAUCUUGUGUUAUUUAUGAUAUACAUAUAAAUGAACAUCUUUGAGCAAGAAAUACCCAUUUGAAUGGUUUACAAUCGAUAUAACUACUCAUACUGAAACUUACAAAGUACUCUUUUUUAAGAUCCAAGAAAUUCUAGUACCUAGAUAAAAUUUUGUAAUCCCCUUUCCUUCUUUUAAUUGACAUAGCCCCCAUUUCUCAUAAAAUGAGGAUGCUACAUUGGGACUGGUCGGGAUAGCUCAGAUGGUAGAGCAGAGGACUGAAAAUCCUCGUGU
This 912-nucleotide unclassified non-coding RNA is filed under the name Tricalysia cryptocalyx. Its description in RNAcentral is "partial contains trnL gene and trnL-F intergenic spacer". The stretch from base 1 to 438 matches the Rfam family "Group I catalytic intron", at positions 39 to 253 of the family's 253-position model. The record is from RNAcentral. Lineage: Eukaryota; Viridiplantae; Streptophyta; Magnoliopsida; Gentianales; Rubiaceae.